Molecule: long non-coding RNA, 173 nt
Filed under: Oncorhynchus kisutch (coho salmon)
Lineage: Eukaryota; Metazoa; Chordata; Actinopteri; Salmoniformes; Salmonidae
Description: lncRNA (ENSOKIG00005036442.1)
Source: RNAcentral
UUUUAAAGGAAUUUUAAAAGUCUUACUUGUUUCACGUUUUUAUCACGUUUCUAGCUAAGUUAACAUUGGUGGAUUCGCUUGAUUGAAAACGUUAUACAACGUUUUAUGAUGGUUGGAGAGUCUUGGAGUUCCCUUCAGCCACAGAGACGACCUGUGUGUGUGUGUGUGUGUAU